CUACGGGGGGCAGCAGUGGGGAAUAUUGCACAAUGGGCGCAAGCCUGAUGCAGCCAUGCCGCGUGUGUGAAGAAAGCCUUCGGGUUGUAAAGCACUUUCAGCGGGGAGGAAGGCGGUGAGGUUAAUAACCUCAUCGAUUGACGGUACCCGCCGAAGAAGCACCGGCUAACUCCGUGCCAGCAGCCGCGGUAAUACGGAGGGUGCAAGCGUUAAUCGGAAUUACUGGGCGUAAAGCGCACGCAGGCGGUCUGUCAAGUCGGAUGUGAAGUCCCCGGGCUCAACCUGGGAACUGCAUUCGAAACUGGCAGGCUAGAGUCUUGUAGAGGGGGGUAGAAUUCCAGGUGUAGCGGUGAAAUGCGUAGAGAUCUGGAGGAAUACCGGUGGCGAAGGCGGCCCCCUGGACAAAGACUGACGCUCAGGUGCGAAAGCGUGGGGAGCAAACAGGAUUAGAUACCCGGGUAGUC
RNAcentral lists this ribosomal RNA (464 nucleotides) under uncultured Klebsiella sp. RNAcentral's name for it is "bacterial SSU rRNA". It matches the Rfam family "Bacterial small subunit ribosomal RNA", at positions 339 to 795 of the family's 1533-position model. Lineage: Bacteria; Pseudomonadati; Pseudomonadota; Gammaproteobacteria; Enterobacterales; Enterobacteriaceae. The record is from RNAcentral.